UGCGUAGGCGGGUUUCUAAGUCAGAGGUGAAAGCCUGGAGCUCAACUCCAGAACUGCCUUUGAUACUGGAAGUCUUGAGUAUGGCAGAGGUGAGUGGAACUGCGAGUGUAGAGGUGAAAUUCGUAGAUAUUCGCAAGAACACCAGUGGCGAAGGCGGCUCACUGGGCCAUUACUGACGCCGAGGCACGAAAGCGUGGGGAGCAAACA
This 207-nucleotide ribosomal RNA is filed under the name uncultured bacterium. RNAcentral describes it as "partial 16S ribosomal RNA". It matches the Rfam family "Bacterial small subunit ribosomal RNA", at positions 568 to 774 of the family's 1533-position model. The record is from RNAcentral.